RNAcentral lists this non-coding RNA (28 nucleotides) under Mus musculus (house mouse). Lineage: Eukaryota; Metazoa; Chordata; Mammalia; Rodentia; Muridae. The record is from RNAcentral.
UUUUUAGUAGGUGCUAUGGAUUGAGCUC